UUCGAUUCUGGCUCAGAUUGAACGCUGGCGGGAUGCUUUACACAUGCAGUCGAACGGCUACGGACUUCGGUCUGGUGGCGAGUGGCGAACAGGUGAGUAAUGUGGCGGAACGUGCCUAGUAGCGGGGGAUAACUGCACGCGAAAGCGUAGCUAAUACCAUACGCCCUUCGGGGGAAAGUGGGGGGACCUUCGGGCCUCGCACUAUUAGAGCGGCCGAUAUCGGAUUAGCUAGUUGGUGGGGUAACGGCUCACCAAGGCGACGAUCCGUAGCUGGUUUGAGAGGACGACCAGCCACACUGGGACUGAGACACGGCCCAGACUCCUACGGGGAGGGCAGCGGUGGGGAAUUUUGGACAAUGGGGAAACCCUGAUCCAGCCAUCCCGCGUGUGAUGAAGGCCUUCGGGUUGUAAAGCACUUUUGGCAGGAAAGAAACGGCACGGGAUAAUACCCCGUGCAACUGACGGUACCUGCAGAAUAAGCACCGGCUAACUACGUGCCAGCAGCCGCGGUAAUACGCUCAAGGUGCAAGCGUUAAUCGGAAUUACUGGGCGUAAAGCGUGCGCAGGCGGUUCGGAAAGAAGAUGUGAAAUCCCAGAGCUUAACUUUGGAACUGCAUUUUAACUACCGAGCUAGAGUGUGUCAGAGGGAGUGGAAUUCCUGAUGUAGCAAUGAAAUGCGUAGAUAUGCGGAGGAACACCGAUGGCGAAGGCAGCCUCCUGGGAUAACACUGACGCUCAUGCACAGCGAUGGGGAGCAAACAGGAUUAGAUACCCUGGUAGUCCACGCCUAAACGAUGUCAACUAACUGUUGGGGCCUUCGGGCCUUGGUAUGCCAAUAACGCGUGAAGUGACCGCCUGGGGAGUACGGUCGCAAGAUUAAAACUCAAAGGAAUUGACGGGGACCCGCACAAGCGGUGGAUGAUGUGGAUUAAUUCGAUGCAACGCGAAAACACCUACCCUUGACAUGUCUGGAAUCCCGAAGAGAUUUGGGAGUGCUCGCAAGAGAACCGGAACACAGGUGCUGCAUGGCUGUCGUCAGCUCGUGUCGUGAGAUGUUGGGUUAAGUCCCGCAACGAGCGCAACCCUUGUCAUUAGUUGCUACGAAAGAGGGCACUCUAAUGAGACUGCCGGUGACAAACCGGAGGAAGGUGGGGAUGACGUCAAGUCCUCAUGGCCCUUAUGGGUAGGGCUUCACGUCAUACAAUGGUCGGGACAGAGGGUCGCCAACCCGCGAGGGGAACCAAUCCCAGAAACCCGAUCGUAGUCCGGAUCACGCAGUCUGCAACUCGACUGCGUGAAGUCCGGAAUCGCCAGUAAUCGCGGAUCAGCAUGUCGCGGUGAAUACGUUCCCGGGUCUUGUACACACCGCCCACGUCACCAUGGGAGUGGGUUUUACCAGAAGUGGAUUAGCCUAACCGUAAGGAGGGCGAUUACCACGGUAGGAUUCAUGACUGGGGUGAAGUCCGGCAACAAGGUAA
Molecule: ribosomal RNA, 1478 nt
Filed under: uncultured Bordetella sp.
Lineage: Bacteria; Pseudomonadati; Pseudomonadota; Betaproteobacteria; Burkholderiales; Alcaligenaceae
Description: partial 16S-23S ribosomal RNA intergenic spacer
Rfam family: Bacterial small subunit ribosomal RNA
Source: RNAcentral